This 338-nucleotide long non-coding RNA is filed under the name Androctonus crassicauda. The record is from RNAcentral. Lineage: Eukaryota; Metazoa; Arthropoda; Arachnida; Scorpiones; Buthidae.
UGUCCUGUAAAAAGACUUAUAAUAAUCCUUACUUGAUUUUUAUGCAAUGCAAGCAACUCUUUCUGUCAAGAAGAACCUAAAAUAAGAACCUUUGCAUGCCUUAGUCUAAGAAUAGACUUCCAGUAAGAGAGAUGAUGAACUGUCAACCAGUCCUUGAUAAUCUGCACAAAUGCAUUAGAUCUGUUCAAGAUAGGUUUACAUCCAAUAAAAGAGCAAGAAACCCAUUCCUUACCAAUCCAUCUGCAAUCUUGUUUCCAACGAUCCCAUUAUGCUCUGGCAUCAAACGUUGGAUCCUGUUUCUGGUAGCCAAUCCAAAUGAGAUGAUAGCAUUCCCACAC